This 497-nucleotide ribosomal RNA is filed under the name uncultured bacterium. RNAcentral describes it as "partial 16S ribosomal RNA". It matches the Rfam family "Bacterial small subunit ribosomal RNA", at positions 28 to 507 of the family's 1533-position model. The record is from RNAcentral.
GAUGAACGCUGGCGGCGUGCCUAAUACAUGCAAGUCGAGCGAACAGACGAGGAGCUUGCUCCUCUGACGUUAGCGGCGGACGGGUGAGUAACACGUGGAUAACCUACCUAUAAGACUGGGAUAACUUCGGGAAACCGGAGCUAAUACCGGAUAAUAUAUUGAACCGCAGGGUUCAAUAGUGAAAGACGGUUUUGCUGUCACUUAUAGAUGGAUCCGCGCCGCAUUAGCUAGUUGGUAAGGUAACGGCUUACCAAGGCAACGAUGCGUAGCCGACCUGAGAGGGUGAUCGGCCACACUGGAACUGAGACACGGUCCAGACUCCUACGGGAGGCAGCAGUAGGGAAUCUUCCGCAAUGGGCGAAAGCCUGACGGAGCAACGCCGCGUGAGGGAUGAAGGUCUUCGGAUCGUAAAACUCUGUUAUUAGGGAAGAACAAAUGUGUAAGUAACUAUGCACGUCUUGACGGUACCUAAUCAGAAAGCCACGGCUAACUACGUG